AUGGAGGUUUCUGCUGGGGAGAUGGGCCCCGUAAUUUGUAAGCUCGCUGAGCUCCUUGUUGGAGAAUACAACCUGGAGAAGCGUGUAAAGAAAGGCGUGCAAUCACUCCUAACAGAGCUCGAGAUGAUGCACGCCGUACUUCGCAAGGUUGGCGAGGUGCCAUCCGAACAGCUCGAGGAGCCGGUCCGGAUUUGGGCUGGCAAGGUGAGAGACCUCUCUUGUGACAUGGAAGAUGCUGUUGACGAUUUCCUCGUGCGUGUGGAUGAGGGUUCAAGCAUCCAGCCAAUGAACAUGAGAAAUCGAGUCAAGAAGUUCCUCAAGAAGACCACCAAACUGUUUAGUAAGGGCAAAGCACUUCAUCAAAUCUGUGAUGCCAUUGAAGAAGCUCAGGAUCUUGCCAAGGAGUUGGCCGAGCUGCGUAAAAGAUGUAGGGGUGACGGCACAAGGGACGACCUUAUUAAAACACUAAUUUGUGAGGACGGGAGUUGCAAGGAACAAUUGAAGAUAAUAUCUAUUGUUGGUGUUGGUGGGCUGGACAAGACAACCCUCACCAAAGCAUUUUUUGAGAAGAUCAAAGCCCAAUUUGAUCGUGCAGCUUUUGUCCCAGUGGGUCAGAACCCAGAUAUCAGGAAAAUUUUCAAAGACCUACUCUAUGGCCUCGACAAAGAGAAGUUCAAAGACAUUCAUAAAACAACAAGAGAUGAGAAACUACUAAUGGAGGAAAUCAGUGAAUUCCUUCUGGAUAAGAGGUACCUUAUCAUAAUUGAUGAUAUAUGGGAAGAGGAAAUAUGGAGAUAUAUAAAUUGUGCUUUGUAUAAAAACAAACUCCACAGUCGGAUAAUCAUAACAACCCGCAAUGUGAGUGUGUCUGAAGCAUGUCUCUCUUUCGGUGAUGGUAUGAUUCAGAGAAUGAAACCUCUUUCUGAUGAAGACUCGCAAAUACUCUUCCAUAGAAGAAUAUUUCAAAGCAAACAGAAAUGUCCGGAAGAUCUGCAGGUGGUGUCAAGAGAUAUCUUGAAGAAAUAUGCUGGUGUACCAUUAGCCAUCGUUACAAUAGCUAGCCUUCUGGUUAGUAGUCAACGGGUAAAGCCAAAACAUGAGUGGAUGCAUGUGUAUAAUUCGAUGGGCUGUGGAGUUACACAAAAUGGUAUUGCGAAGGACAUGAAGAGGAUAUUAUCACUCAGCUAUUAUGAUUUGCCUCCUCAUCUGAAGACUUGUUUAUUAUACCUAAGCAUCUUUCCUGAAGACUUUGAGGUUGAGAGAGAUUGGUUGAUAUGGAGGUGGCUUGCCGAAGGUUUUAUCCAGUGCAACCAAAAAGAAAGCAGCCUAUUUGAGAUUGGGAAGAGCUACUUCAACGAACUCAUGAAUAGAAGCUUGCUCCAGCCAGCGUAUAUAGAAGCUUUCAAUUUUUGCGUGUGCUGGAUCUUGGAAAUUCUAGCUUCCGGAAGAGGAGCUUUGGCAUCAGCCUCAAGUAUGUUGGGAAUUUAA
This 1488-nucleotide ribosomal RNA is filed under the name Triticum aestivum (bread wheat). RNAcentral's name for it is "partial small subunit ribosomal RNA". The record is from RNAcentral. Lineage: Eukaryota; Viridiplantae; Streptophyta; Magnoliopsida; Poales; Poaceae.